GACGAACGCUGGCGGCGUGCUUAACACAUGCAAGUCGAACGGAAAGGCCCUGCUUGCUGGGUCCUCGCGUGGCGAACGGGUGAGUAACACUUGGGUGAUCUGCCCUGCAUUUCGGGGUAAGCCUGGGAAACUGGACCUAAUACCGUAUAGCAUCCCUUUUUAGUGUGAUGGUCGGAAAGUUUUUUCGGUGUAGGCUGAGCUCGCGGCCUAUCAGCUUGUUGUUGGGGUAAUGGCCUACCAUGGCGGCGACGGGUAGCCGGCCUGAGAGGGUGGACGGCCACACUGGGACUGAGAGAAGGCACAGACUGCUACGGGAGGCAGCAGGGGGGAAGAGUGCACAAUGGGCGCAAGGCUGAUGCAGCGACGCCGCGGGGGGGAUGACGGCCUUCGGGGUGUAAACUCCUUUAGCGAGGGACGAAGCGUUUUGUGACGGUACCUAGAGAAGAAGCACCGGCUAACUACGUG
Molecule: ribosomal RNA, 465 nt
Filed under: uncultured bacterium
Lineage: Bacteria
Description: partial 16S ribosomal RNA
Rfam family: Bacterial small subunit ribosomal RNA
Source: RNAcentral